GAUGAACGCUGGCGGCGUGCCUAAUACAUGCAAGUCGAGCGAACGGACGCGAAGCUUGCUUCUCUGAUGUUAGCGGCGGACGGGUGAGUAACACGUGGAUAACCUACCUAUAAGACUGGGAUAACUUCGGGAAACCGGAGCUAAUACCGGAUAAUAUUUUGAACCGCAUGGUUCAAAAGUGAAAGACGGUCUUGCUGUCACUUAUAGAUGGAUCCACGCUGCAUUAGCUAGUUGGUAAGGUAACGGCUUACCAAGGCAACGAUGCAUAGCCGACCUGAGAGGGUGAUCGGCCACACUGGAACUGAGACACGGUCCAGACUCCUACGGGAGGCAGCAGUAGGGAAUCUUCCGCAAUGGGCGAAAGCCUGACGGAGCAAUGCCGCGUGAGUGAUGAAGGUCUUCGGAUCGUAAAACUCUGUUAUUAGGGAAGAACAUAUGUGUAAGUAACUGUGCACAUCUUGACGGUACCUAAUCAGAAAGCCACGGCUAACUACGUG
RNAcentral lists this ribosomal RNA (497 nucleotides) under uncultured bacterium. Its description in RNAcentral is "partial 16S ribosomal RNA". It matches the Rfam family "Bacterial small subunit ribosomal RNA", at positions 28 to 507 of the family's 1533-position model. The record is from RNAcentral.